AUACGGAGGGUGCAAGCGUUAUCCGGAUUUAUUGGGUUUAAAGGGUCCGUAGGCGGAUCUGUAAGUCAGUGGUGAAAUCUCAUAGCUUAACUAUGAAACUGCCAUUGAUACUGCAGGUCUUGAGUAAGGUAGAAGUAGCUGGAAUAAGUAGUGUAGCGGUGAAAUGCAUAGAUAUUACUUAGAACACCAAUUGCGAAGGCAGGUUACUAUGUCUUAACUGACGCUGAUGGACGAAAGCGUGGGGAGCGAACAGGAUUAGAAACCCGUGUAGUCC
RNAcentral lists this ribosomal RNA (274 nucleotides) under uncultured bacterium. RNAcentral's name for it is "partial 16S ribosomal RNA". It matches the Rfam family "Bacterial small subunit ribosomal RNA", at positions 523 to 796 of the family's 1533-position model. The record is from RNAcentral.